GGAGAUGCAUUAUCUUUCUCAUUGUAAGCAGAAUAGCUAAGUGAAAGUAGAGUAUCUGAUUUUCCUCUUUGUCUUGGUAUCAUUGCUAGUUCUUAGGGUGAACAAGAAAUUACUUGGAUAGAAAGCACUUGGUACUGAAGAAAUCAGCUUGAAAGUAAAAUACAGUUUUCUAAUGCACAGUGAGUUAACCAAGUUACUGUUACUGCUGUUGACGCUUGGUGACGCUGAAUGAAUAAAUUGUGAAACAUUUUCUUUUUAUGGUUUUAUUUAUACUUCAUUUAAUAUAACUUAUGGACAUGGCUAUAAAGUUGUUUAGUUGUCUUCAUAUUGUGAUGCAAGUACUAUGAGUAUGAUAACGUACUUUGAACUUACUGCAAUGGGAAUAUAAAGCACAAUAAUAUCAAAAUCAACCUUCUUAUUAUAUUAAUACCAAUAGAUUAUUUAAUGGCCUUGAUACUUAAAUAAAGGACAUCAUAAUGAUGUCACAAAAUUGUUUUAGAGGGAGAUUCUGAAACUUUGUCCAUAUUUGAAUAUUAAGAACCUUUUCAAUCAGUGAGCUGUCAUAGUUCAUGGUAGAAGAACUGUCAACGUGACAGUCCUAACUAGAACAUUGAAGUCUUAGAGCAUUAAGUAAAAAAUAGAUAUCUCUAAUAAUAUAAUGGAGAAAUGUAGAGAUUUACCUUAUAUAAUGCUUCUGGUAAAAAUAAUUGCUGUAGUACAUAGUUAGAUCCAUGGAGAAUACAAGUUGGACUAUCUGCAAUGAAGUCAGUGCUUUCCAUUAGGCUGCAGCAAUAUUACCAGCUGAGGUUCUGAUCCAUGCAAUCUGUAUGCUGACUGGGUAAUCCCAUCGUGGUCAGUAAUUACAUACAGUUUAAAUGUUCUCACUGUAACUUCGGCAGUAUUGUGUUUGCUUUCAUCUUAAUUUCUUGUGCUCUGUAACUCCACACUGUUUACAGCAGUUGCUAUAUUCUUUUUGUUGGGAGGGGCUGCACUUCUGUCUUAAGCAAAAUGAUUCCUGUUUAGUUUGUGAAGUUAGUAAGCGAAAUCCAAAAAUUCUGAUGUAUGAAAUAUGCUUACUGUAUGUUAGGAGAUCUUGUUUUCUUUUAAAUUUUAAAAUUCUUAGAGUUAGUGUAAUUAUUCCAAGGGAAGUCCUUAUUUCUUAAAAUCCCACUUCACCUAUAUUAUGGCUUCAAUUUUAUGGAAGCUCCAAGAGCAAGGAUUACAAACUUCUAGGGCUGGGUUAAAUUGUGUAUGUAUGUCAAAAUUCUGUUCUUAAUUAUAUUCUGUGUAGAGUAUAAAUAGUGUUGAAAAUUCUACUAUCACUCAGUCUAUUAGGAAGAAGAUAGGACACGGGCAACACUCGGUAGUUUUUCCCAUGUGCCCUACAAAUAUAAGCUCUUACACGUACAGGGGGAGAAUUCAGAGAUUUCUGUGCUGAAAUUACAUUGAAUUAGUGCUUCAUGCUACUUAUAUUCAUCAGAUCUUUAAAAAAGGAUGUCUGAGACCCAUUCUCUGAAUCACUUCGUAUCUUCCACUUCCAGGUCCUGAAUUUUCCUACCAACUAAAAUAGUCAAAUCAUCUACAGUUUAGGCAAGAGUUAGUUCUGUACUGUACCACACAAUCUCCAUUGUAACUUUCUGCUCUUUCUGAGUCUUGUUUUGCUCUAAGAUACUACAGACUUUUAAAACAAGUCUACUUAAAUACUGAAAAUACGGUAAUAAUUAUAUGUAUUUAUGUAUCAGUGAAUUAUCAGAGUUUCAAUACUUAAGUAUUUCAAUAAUUAUGAAGUUUCACGCUGUUUUUGCAGUGAGGAGGAACUCCCAAUUUUCCAUGUGUAAAGGAACAUAUAUUUCCAUUAUGGUAUCAAAGAUACCAUUUUGUUAUAAACCAGAAUGCCUCUGUGUUUUCUGGUGUCUAUUUGUUAUUCUAGUAGCUGAGCUGUUAAUAUUGUUUAUAGUGUUGAAUGAAAAGCGUUAAGGAAAUUUCAGAAGAGUCUGAAGAAAAGUCAUAGCUGUUCAUUAAAUAGACAAUCUGUUAAUGUUAUUUUUUUUUCUUCCUGGAGGGCCAUGUACAGUAAAAGCUGAUUGAAAUAGCAGAUAUCACAUCUAAGAAACUAACUCUAACAAAAUGUAGUUUAAAUGUGAUUCAGAAAAUAGUCAAGACUAUUGCAACAUACUAACAGAAAAUACUUCUGCAGAAAUACUGCAUAGUUGUUGACACAAUUCUACUAAGUUUCAUAUAUAAGGCCUUACAUAAACUUAAGUUCAGUUUUGAUAUGCGUAUAGCUUCCGUAUUAGGUUAGUAAGAGUGUAUAAUUUCAGCAUAGUUAAAGGUGAUUUGUCAGAAGUGAGAUUGUAAACAAUAGGCCUUCCUGAAAGUGGGCAGAUGCGCCAUUUUGGCAAGGGCAAGUACUGACAGAAUAUUUAUGAAGUUCUUGGCCUCUUCUUUAACUUGCGGCAUUACAAAGAGGCUGAAAAAAUCAGGAUAUGAUAUGAAAUUUAAAAAAAAUAAAAUUGGGUAGUGCAUCAGGCCUAAUUUCUGUGAAUGUAUAACACACGUUGAAGUAAUUCUAAGUCGGUAAUAUUUUUCACUAUAUAAUAUGUAUAAUGAAAAACCUUAGUCAGGCUUCACUUUAAGUGUCUGCUCUUUGCUUGCUUAAAUAUUUUGGUUUACUGUUCAGUUAACUUAAGUCUUUUAAUGCAGUGAACUGCUUUUGUUUAUAACAGAGUCCUUUUAAACAGCAGAAAAAUUUGAACCUGAAAAUAUUUUGUUAUCCUUUGGAGGAACAUAUUUGCAAGGAUUGUACUGAGGGAUUUAUGGGGGGCAGAGCAGAGGAAAUUAGAACAUCGAUGAACUGUUUUGAAAAAAUAGGGUAGUGCGGCUUCAAUAACUAUCCCAAAGUAAGAGUGAGCAUCAAAAUCACUUAACGUUACUUUUGUGUCCUCUCCCUCUGUUUCUGUCCACCUUCAGGAAGUACAUUGAAUAUUUAAACAUUAAUUUCCAACUUUAAAAAUGACUUCAUUACCAUACUGGUAAAAAUGUGUGCUGGUUUUGAAUUUACCAGUAGAAAUAGGAAAUUGACAUAUAGGAUUAGGAGAAGUAAUACUAUGCAUUAGCAUUAGCCCCUUGGAAAUAGCUGCUCAGGUGGAGCACAGCCACUUUGAGUCCCAGAAGUACAUUUUCCUGACUCACACUGUCUAGGUUUACAACAAAGAGCUCAGGUUCCCUAAAGCUACUGCUCCAGUGCUUAAAAAGAUUGUGUUUAGCCCAGAAUGUGAAUAUCUGGCAUGUUGAAUAUAUACAACUGUACAUGCAAAUCAGUGUAUUUGUAAUGUUGCUCUUUCAAUUAUCUUUCUGUUUAUCUCACAUAUAGUAACUCCUUUAAAAAAAAAUGAAGGAAAAGUCCUCUAGAUUUUAAAUGUGUUCUUUUACACCUGAAAUAUACAUAUAUAAAAGAACAGUAAAAGUUCUGUCCUGUGCUUUCAUUGUUAAUACACAAAUUACAUUGAUAGAAGCAAUUCUGUGUCUUACUAAUUGAGUAGAACUUCUUUUAUGGAACUUCACUUAAAUUUCUUGUACAUUUUUCAGUCAAUAAGAAGUGUAGAAAUGUUGAGCAACACUAAAACAAUCUAAAAUGCAUCACGAAUUUCCACCAUACCUUACUCCUGAGGUUUUAUGCCUUGUACACUCACUGCAGUUAAUGCUUAAAAUUGGCUUUUGAAGGAUACAGUCCUGCAGCUUCAAAGCACUGAGUUAUGUGAGCUGCCCUUUUCCAGGUCUACUUUUCAUGUACUUGAAGUAAAAUAGAAUGUGAUGCAUCACUGGAUCAGCUGAACUCAGGAGUCCUGUAAAUUAUGGGUUGUUUGCACUAUGGAAUAAUACUUGUUUUGGACAUCAGGUGAGAUAUAUGAACCUCUCAUUCUUAGUUAUCCCUAUAGGUUUUUGAAAAUAAUAGUACAGAAUUUAACUAAAUAACAUAUCUGCUGCUACGAAAAUGUUAAAGCUAUCAAACUAGUAAGCAAGUGUUUGGAAUUGUUAGAAUUAACAAAUAGGCAUUUAAAAAAAAAAAAAAAGAAUUCCAGCAUCUAGUCUUACUGUCCAUAGGUUAAUAUGUUAUCAUUCACACAGAUUCUGUGUGGAUUAACGUGUAACUUCUUCCUUACUUUCAUGUUUAAUUUAUGGAGUUGUUUAAUUUUUGGAGUUGUUAAAUGAAUUUUAUAAAAUGAAAACAUAGCAAGGAUUCCUUUGUAAAUUGGAGCAAUAUGACAAGGAACGUUUCUGGUAGAUACUUUUUUUCUGAUAGGCAUGGCUUUGGGUCACAUUAUUUAAAAUAAAAUUUCUACUAGUAAUUAGUAGACAGUUGGUAAUAGAGAGUGAGAUUUUAGAGCACUUUCAGUAGCACCUAUUGUUUAAAAAAGAAAAAAAGGAGAAAAAAAAGUUGGCAUUCUCAAGUCUUCCCAUAAGUAAUGAAGCCAGCACAUUAUUCUUACAGAUAAUUCUGUACUUUGGCAUGUGAAGAUAUAGUAUCUCUGAGACAAUGCUCCAUAAAAACACCAGUGUUCUCGAUGGAGAUAAAGGAGUUUCUCAACUGGCCACUUUGUGGCUGAUUUUAAGUAGAAUUGAUGUCUUCAUUUAGAUGAAAGGACAAUUUUAUAAUUUCAUAGACUUGAAUGAAAAGAGUUUUUUGUAAGCCAGUAGCUGAUAAGUCUAAAUUGCUUCUGUUAGGCAAAAAUCUGUGUUUCUUCGCAUGUAAUUUUCCUAGGAUAUGAUAGUAAAAGAAGUGGUAUGAGUAAAUACAGUGACAAAAUAUGCUAUCUAUGAAUUAUGGAGUAGUUUUGUAUUUAGUAUGAUAAAUUUAUUCCCCUUUAUUUUUUAAAAUUUAUCUCUUUAGCAUAUGUGCAAGAUAGAUCUCAUUAGCUUUUUAAAUUACUAUGGGUGGCAAAACAACAAAAUUGCCUACUACAUCCAAAUGAGAACGAAGGAGUUAAAGGAAAAAUACAGUUUGGUCACUAAACUCAUCCACGCUAGGCUGCAGGUACUGCUAUGUCUGAGAUAAGGUAGAGGCAAUACUACUAAUCUACUACUUCUGAUCUUAAAUCCUGUCCCUGUAGUUUGGAUUACAUAUCCCUUAGUUUUGUUUUGGUUUUACUUUGUUUUUUACUUUGUUUUUCAAAGUGUAAAUUUUUAAGUAGCAAGCUUUGCAUUUUUUUAAACAAGAAUUCUAAAUAUCUUUAAUAUGCUGGAGGUGAAUUAAUAGAGAUAAAUUUGUUCUCUUAGGGCUUAAGUCUGUUACACCUAAGAUACAGUCUCUCCUGAACUGAAUAGUUUUCAGUAGAAGCUUCAGAGUAGGUAAUGCUUGACGGAGUUUUCAUUAUCUUGCAGAACUGAGUUUUCCAGGUAGUCUUCUGUAGAAGCUGGAUGUAGUUCCUUCUAGUUCUUAUUUGGUACUCUUGCAUUAAAGCUGUGCAAAACUCACCGUUUCACCAUACCUGGCAGUGCAGGCUGGAGGAGCAAUUUGGGGCAAAAUAGCACCCAAAUAAUUACACCCAGUUUCUUUACUAGGUCUGCAUAAUGCAAACAUCAUCCAAGGAAGCUAUGUGUAUAUAUAUAUAUAUAAAGGAAUCACUUGAUAUUCAUCCUUAAACAUAAUUUCCACUAACCCAUGUCCUGUUUGCUUUGACUUUAGAAAGGGCAAAUCAGGAUUUCUGCAUUUUGAAAUAUUAGCGUAUUUAGCAUUUCUCUUUUUAUGUUACCUGGUUUUAAUAAAGAAUUUUGCAAGAGAAGGUUUAUAUUAAAUUACUCAUAAUCUAGUUUAUUCUGCUAGGAUUCUUAAAAAAAAAAAAAAAAAAAAAAAAAAACUUCUGUAUGUAUUUGGAUGACAGUAUAUGAAAAUAUACUGUCUUUUUUUUUAAAUAAGUUGCAGAUUUUUUUUUCUGGUUGCAAUCAUGUUAGACAUAUAUAAAGAAAAAGUUUACUUUCAAUAUCCUCCUUUAAGUUAUUUGAAGUAAAUUGCAAUUUUUUUUUCAAAAAACACUUUUUGCAUAUUUUCCAUUAGUGCCCUUUAGUACCUAUAUCAAUAUACAGUUUGAUUUUUAUUAGACUUCAUAAAUAUUUUGACAUGACAUAUCUGUAACACUAAACAUAAGCUUCCAAUGCAAGAGUUUGUACAUAGUCCAUAUCCAGAUAUCACCAUUAUUUCAUUUAAAAGAUCCCAGCAUGUUUACCUCAUGAUCCGUAUAAACUCUCUAGUACUGAAAUAUGUCAACACUUUUUCUUGCUACAUUCAUUGAAAUUAAGCACCCUUACCCUACCCCAUCUGUAAACAUCAAGUCAAUUGGCAGCUAGCACAUUUCCCAGUCAGCAAGCAGUAUUGUGAAUUUUAUCUUCUCUUGCAGAAAUCAAUUCGUCUUCGUUGCAGCAGAUGAAAUUUCUUGUAACACCUCUGCAGGUAACAAUCAUUGAUACUUCUUGAUGCAUCCAUCCAGGUCUCAAUAUCCUUUUUCACAUGCUGCAUUUAAUCGUAAGAGAAAGCAUAGGAAAGUCCAUGAUUCAAAUUUUCGGAAUAGAUUAAUUUAUAGCUUGAGUCUAGAUUCUGCCAUAUAAAAGACAUUAGGUUAUUUUUGCUGACUUUGGUGUUUUAUUUCCAGUUUAAAUAUUAUAUGGCCUAGAAAAGUAAGGAUAUGUUAAACCUUCUCAUAAAAGCUUACUGUACAGUGCAAUCAAGGUGAUGGUGACUUAAAAAAAAAAUCAAAAAAAGAAUAAAACUACUGAAAACAGUAAAAGUAUAGAUCUAUGCAGGACAUUGUAAGUGCUAUAGAUUUAAGUUUUUUUUUCAACUCUUUGGGGGCAAAUACUGCCCACAACAGUACUGCAGACCCUAAAGCACUCACAAAGUCUAUCCUAUGGAUAAGAUAGUGGGAGAGAGGGUCUGCGACUUCAGAGGAUCACUCUCUAGUAAGUAAAAAUCUUAGCUGGUUUGCUAGUAUACUAUCAUGUUGUAAGCCAUGGGUGCAGAAGAACGAACAAUGUUUUAAAAGAUAUUUAUUAAUGGUAAUUUAUAAGUAUAUAUCGAGGGAUUUUCUGUCAAUAGAGGUUGAACAAUGUUAGUCUUAAUACAGGUAAGGAUGAUGUUAUGUUGCUACAUUAGAAAUCAAAGGCCAAUAUAUUUAGUUACAGUGUUGGCCACACUGUCAAUAAUGAUAUGUGAAAAAGUCAUGGAGAUGUGUGUAUUGGAGGAAAGGAUAUGUAGUGUGGCACAAAAUGUCGGUAUCAAGAUGUAUUUAUUUGUAGAGAGUUUUACAUUAGUGGAAAUAAAUGAAAGGUGAAGAAUUUUCUGCUUAUGUCAUGGUGACCUACAUAGAAGUACACAUGUUUAUGGAGAAGACGACUAUAGCUAAAGUCACUAUGUUCUAAGAUGGUAAUAUACUGCAUGGUAGCCACAGCAUUUUUGGUGGUAAUCUGAAAAGUUCUUCUUAAAAAGAAAACAAGCAACUGAUUUAACAUAGAUUUCUCAGAAUCCUAUAUCAUUAGCAGAAUGAUCCUUGAUUAGGAUUCUGACAUUCAUUAUUUCACUUGUGCUUCCUACUCUGUUCUGGAUAGUAGUGAACUGCAGUAGGGAGACGACUCAUUUAUAAAUCUGUGCCUUGCAGAGUGAGUAUAGAUAGAUUCAUUUUAGCAGUUUUUUAACUUGGAGUUCUUAAAACACACAUAUAGUUCUAAUAAUUUUCUUGUUUUGAAAACUUUCCCUGUUUUGCAGAAUGAACCCUUUUACGCAAUACUUACACCUGUAGACAUUAACUUCUCUCAGUUCAUGCAGAAUAAGUGUCCAGACUACACAAUACUUAUUCUGUAUGGCAUUACACUGAAAUUUCAAAAAUAUUGCACACUUGUUCAUCAGAAAAUGCACUGAAAUUUACACAGAAGAAAAUGGACUUUUGUGUAUAUUUAUUAAAACUUUUCAGUUUACCAGCAAAUUACCACUAUUAAACUGAUUUGAUAAAUAAGGUGUUUCUGUUAGAUAAUGUUUUUGACACUAUGAUAAACAUAUCGGCAGUAGGUAACUUUAGGGGUCUUUUUUGUUAUAUGUUCUGAAGGAGUAAGCUAAUGAAAGCCUCUAUUUUCUGUUAUUUGUAUAUUUAAAUUUUAGUGAUAGAAUUUAAAGGAAUUCUGUCUAUAUUUAAAAAAAAAAAAAAAAAAAAAACAGCUACACCAUACACUGACCCCUUUUCUGUUAUGGAACAAGUUACCAAAAUUGCAUUGGGCCUUUCAAAUCUGUAAACUGACAUUCAACUUAUUGUCUGAUGUUUUGUGUUUCAGUACGUGAAGUAUACAUAGAUAUAUAAUCUUUCAGAGCAGUAGCUGUCAUUUGAUUUUUCAGAUGCACACAAAACGUCUAUGAUACAAUAUUAGAUGCUAGUAGUGUUCCUAAAUUCAAUUAGACUAAUUCAAGUGUUUGCCAAAUUGGAUUGGUAUAAGAUAAGAUACUGAUAAUAUGCUAACUGUCUGAAAUGUUAGUACAUGUGUGUUUGUAUUGUUUCCUUGUGUAGAAUAUACAUGUUUGUAGACUUAAAAUAAUCAUAUAACAAGUAAACUUUUGUUUGGAACUCUAUUGUCGAAUGGAAAUGGGAGUCUUGGGUGAUUCUACCGGUAAUAUUCACUCUUUUCUUCCUAAUGCUUUAUCAUUCCUUCCAGGCAAUACUUAACCCUAAGCCACAUGACUUUCUUUAUUUUACUUUAUUUUUAUUUCAAAUUUAUUUUUUUUUAAUUUAGAAAUAAAGUAAUCUUGAAAUCAAACAUGGUAGGGUAAUGUGUCAAUAUAUACAUUUUUAUUCAUGUAUGUAUAUCUAUUCUUCAAUGAAAAUUAUAUAAAGAAAAUAUAUUCAAGAAUAUGCAAGUGUGUGACAGAGGGAUCCUUCCAUGGGAAAUUUAAAAAUAUUUUGCUCUAUUAUCCAGAGCAUUUUGAAGCUAAAAAUAAUUACUCUUCAGAAGAGAAGUUCUAUGCUUCUGGGAUAGAUCUUCUCUGGCAGGCGUGAUUAAAGAGUAUGCAAACAGACCUGAGCUAGAUCAGAGGUAGGGAAACUAUCUGAGACCUCCUUUCAGCUUGUUGAUGCAAUUUUAACAAGGAUCUCUGAAGAAUUUCCUCUAGCAGAACUCUGACAAUGGUUAUAUUAGAGGAGAAUUAAUCGUGAUGGGGGCAAAGGGGAUCUUACCCUAUCAGUCUCCUUAUAAGUCAGAAAGAAACCCAGCAGAAAAACAUGGUUUAUUUACGUGUUGGCUAGAGAACAUAGUUGAUUUUGUAUCUUUAACAUUUUAAAUUAAUUUUUCAAAUCAGUAAUCAAUAUAUUUUUUCUUUUAGGUUUUAUAAAGCUGAAAUUUAUAGCUCUUAAAGAAAAAAACAUUUAUAGUGCCUUUUCCAAGUUUAUUCUAGGAUGUACCUGCAUUUUAUGAUUUUUAUGUUAAAACAGGACAGGAUAAUUAUUCUGUAUUCAUACCGUUCCUGCUUUCUUCCUCCAGUUAUUAACUGUCAUCUAACUUCCAUCUCCAAACAAAAAAUCCAGUGUGAUUGCACAGCCGGUAGUAUUUUUCUCCCAAGAGUAUAUGCAUUUUAUGAUUUUGAAAUAACAGAGAGAAAGGCAAGGGUAUAUAUACACCUGAAUUCAGAAUGAAGUAUGGUGGAGGUGAAUAUAACAUCUAUCCAAUUGUAGCUGUAUUUAUUUACAUAACUGGGCAGAGUCGUCCCCAUGAGGCAGGAAUGUGUGUAUGUGUAAAAGAUGUGCAUUAUAAAGCUUAAGAAGUUUACAGUCCUGGAUUAAGUUACUGACCUCUCUUUGGAGGAGGAUACAGUCUCGAAAACAGAUUAAAUGAGGAGAGGUUUAAUUUUCAUCUCUAGGAGAAAUUCGUCAUAAAGGCAGCAAAAAGGAGCAAACAUUUGUACUAUCAAAAGUCUGAAAAGAAUAUUGGCAAUUUUUAACGAACACAAUUGCUCAAAUCCUUGCAAUUUUAGUGUAUGCUAGCAUUAAAAUGUAAACACGAACACUUCCGCAAAUUUAAUUUGAGAAACAAUAGCAAAUAUGGUCACAUUUAUUUAAAAGAAAAUUAAUAUUAGAAAAAAUGCUUAGAAUGCUUAAGGUGGUCUACCUCUGCCAUGGUACGUAAUUAUAUCUGGUCAAAUUUUUGCCAUGAAUGCUUGCAUACAUCUCAUUGACAUACUUCAGUUUCUGGUAGGAGGUACUGAUCAGAUUAUGAUCAUUCAAAGGAAUUUCCAAACAGUACAUAUUAUAUAAACUGCUUUGGAAAACCUCUUUUAGAGAGGUUUGCAUUACCUUUGUAAUUACUGUGUAAAGGCAUAGGUUCCGUUGUGAGAGAUGUUUUUGUUUUGGUAUCACUUCCGUGUGCUUCAUUUCAUUUCAUGAAGCAAGUCGACUGGGAAAAUAGCCAUCUCCUACCAGGUUAUUUUAUUAUUGCUCUUUCACAAAUCAAUAAAUCAAAAAUGAAGAUGAAGGAGCAUUUUUUGAGGUCUUUGUGCUAGUAUGUAGUUAAGCCUUUACUGCUUUUCCUAACAGAUAGUGAGGUUUUUGCUCUUCAAAACUAGGGAGUGUUGUAUUAAUGCACAUUACUAAACUUCUAUAAAUUCCAGUGUCCUUCACGUUGGCAGUUUAAAUUUCUUUUUACUGCUGCUGUAAAUAGAUCGUACAUGGAAUUCUGUUUGUUACUGCUUUUACUGCUCUUGGUAGUGCUGGUAAAAUGCUCAGCUAUUGGAUCAGUUGAUAAAAAUCAGUAAACACUUUGGUUAUCCUCUGCUCUUUCAUAAAAUUUGAUUAAUUUCUUUUUCUCACCCAGUGAAAACACUAGCAGACCUUUUGGCAUCUUUGUCAUUAUCUCUUUGACAGCUUACCUUCCCUGUGCUUACAGUUCUAGGUCAGUUCGCAUGGCUAGUCAAUUGUGACAACAUGACAAGAUUAAGUAAAGCUGAGGUUCUGUGAUUUGUAAAUGGAGGAUUUGCAAUGUGAAGCGUCUUUGAUAACAGAAAUAGUGAAUAAUCUUUGUUUGCCCUCAACAAGUGCCUGUAAGCACAUGUGCAUCCUCUGGUACUGUGUUUUUGAAUGAAGCAACUGGAAUUUUUUCUUUGAUAGGCUGAAAACAGUGCACAAGAAAGCUGGUUUGUGUGUGUGCAUGUAUGUAUGCUUGUAGAGCAGAGCAUUAAAUAAACAGCGAUUCAGUAUGAAUGUCCUGAGCGUAUAAUAUUGCAUUUUAAACAUUUAACAACCAAAAAAUGAAUGCAUACUUGCUGACCUUCACUAGCACAAAAGACUGUUUUAAAAGUUCAUAUAAAAAGCAUGUGUGUGUUUAUUUAUUACUAAUCUAGAUUAGAAGUUAUUUAGGAUUUACUGCCCCAGCAUAGACAAAUGCUGUACGAAUCAGACAAAUGCUUGUUUUUCUCUGAAGUUUGACAGAUUAAUAAAUGUCAGCUGAUGGCAAAGCCUCAGUUUCCCCAGUGACUUUUUAUUAGGAACAUAUAGGUAGUCUGUCUUCCUGAGAAGGAGAUUAUACAAACAAGGGGUGUUGAUAGCACGUUACAUUUUAAGCAGAUGCCAAGUGAAGUCCCCACACAUUUAUGGAAGCUGCCUUUGACCUUUUGUAAAUCCAAACAGGGAGACUGAAAUCUGAGACAGAGCUUUUGCCUGAGGUCUCUCCCUGGGGUCGCUCUACAGCACUGAUUCAGCACCCACACAGGAGGAACAUCAGCUGUGCUGCAGUGUUACACCUGGGUAUUUCUGCAAAUUCACCAAUACCAUUUAUUUAAAUGUUUCCCAACGUGGCAGCUGAACUUUGGGUGCAUCUAACAAAUUUCAAACAAAGCUGUACGUUAGCACUCAGGAAAAAAAAAAAAAAUCAUGUUUGAACAUCAAUGACUGAAAUUUCUGCAAAUUCCAAUCAAUGAGCAAUAAUUAAUGAGCCAAAUAAUAAUGGGAAUCAUAAUUAACUGGAUGAUUUCAUAUGUGACAUAAAUAAAAGUCAAGAGGUGGAACUUGUUCCCUGCACGUAGAUACUUCUGAGUAGGCUUCUUAGCUUUCUUCUGAUUUCACCAGAAGGAAAAAGUAAGGACUGCUUCUAAUAUUAUCAUUAAUGUAUUUAUGAAGAUCCCUUCAUGGGAAACUUGUAUGGCCUUAUUCAUGUGGUAGGCUGUGGUAAAAAUUCUUCAUCUCUGUGAAAACCUGGGAAUGGUAAUGCUAUACUAACAGGAAAUCCUGCACUGCCUUGAAGAUAUACAGGAGCUCAGCACUGCAGCAUACCUUGAGUUUUUGCUGUUUCACUGUGCUGUGUCUAUCAGUACUAUGUCUUCCCAUGUCCUCUGCUGCACAAUGUAAAUCUGUGAAGUGUUAGCAGCAGUAGAAGAGGAAAGUGACACAGAAGGGAAUGUUUUGUGGUCCUUUAUUACAGAAUGAUCUUAAGUUUUGAUAUUGUGCAUUCAAAAUUUUGCACAAAGAAUUUCAAAAUGUUUAACCUUUACAAUCAGGAAAAUGACUGCAAACUGUUUCUACUUUAAAACAUUUUCCUCAGUGUCCUGAAAAAACAGGUAGGACAGACUCCUUUCCUCAUUUCCUUCUGAGAUUUGCUCACUUAGGUGACAGAAUGCCUACAUUUGUUUGAUACUAAUAUCCAAAAUUAAUAUAUUUAUCUGCAUGUGCCUUGGACACCAUGAGGAGAUACCACUCUACCAUAGUAAAGAAUUUCAGGUAAAAGGACAACCACUGCUGUACAGUGGUGAGGGACUGAGGUUAAAAUACUGCCCAGGGAUACGUUGUGUCUCUGUGUGCAUACAGAGGAGCUCCUGCUGCUGCUGUUGUCAUCUGGUUUUGGUAUCGUAAUCAUGUGCGCAAGAGGAAAGCAGCCUGUUUUAGUGAGUUACUGGAAUCAUUUAUCUGGAUAACACAGGUAACCCUUGCUUUCCUUGCAUUCCUUCCAGUACUUCACUAAAAUCUUCAUAUCUUUUGUCUACAAUUUUAUUGCAAUUCUGCAGUUCUGGAGGGAAGAAUUGGAUUGCCCUUCCUGUACCACCUGUGAAGAGCAAGAGGCACAUCCUACAGUAGAGCUCAUUUCCUAGCUGAUAAGUUAAGACAGGAAUAUAAAACUGCUCUGCACAAUAUUCUGCCCUCUCAUACCUAGUGAAUGCUGUCUUCUUGUAAAAUUUAGUAAUAAGUGUCAGUGCAAGUGUUUUGGUAAUUUAAGCUUAUUCUUUCUGAAGACUCAAUACAUGUAGGUCUGAAGAAGCAGCAAUUUUAUGACUUGAUCUUUCAAUUAUAAAUCAAAGCUAGUAAAUGAGUGAUAUUGUGGAGAGCUAGAAAUAUGAGCUUCCCAGCGGAUCCAUAUGCUUUGCUGGUAAUAUGGCAAGUAACAGGGAAUUAGAUCACACAGUUAGGUUGUUCUGCUAUUUUCAGUUUUAAUUUUUACUUGACUACUGUUGAGGUUUUAACUUGAUGUUCUUUAAGAACAGAACCGUCAUUUUCUAUAGUUCUGGUAAUAUCUUCUGGUCUUUUAAGAAAUAGGGAAAAACAGUUGAGUUCAAAAAGAUAUGCACAUCAAAUUGUGUUUACAGAUCUCAUUUUAUGUUUUGCAGCACUUGAGGAAAAUGUUUUAACUUGUUUCAUAUUCUAUACUCUGAAUUUUCCUUUAUUAAUGUCGUGAUUAAACCCUACAGUAGACAUGCAGUUAAGGAGCUUCCAGAUGUUUCCAGAGCGUCAUAGUUCCACAUUCUGUCCUAUAUGUAUGAGGAAAUAUAGCCACAGUACCAAAGAACCCAACAUGGUCAUUAAAAUUAGAGAAAGGCAUACUUUCCUGUUUUAGAGGUUCCAGAAAUACCUAGCCCUGAUGAUUUAAAAAAAAAAAGAGAUUUAAUUUCAGAGAUCCUGCUAAAAGAAAUGUCUCUGAUUCUCUUUUUCUAUUUGCACUGGACAACAAACUGCCCUUUUAUGCAAUAUUUAAGCAAUUUUAAAGCUUGUAAUGAAAAUCGUGGAAGAAAUUGAGACAUAGCCUGAGCAGAGAAUUUCAGCAUUGAGCUUUUGGUAAAUAGUUUGCAGCCACAAUGCUACAGAUGUUGGCAUUGCAAAGUUGAAUUUUUUCUUAGUGUUCCAUAGAAAGGUGUUGGUGUAGUUAAAGAACAGUGCCAGUAAAACAAAAUACUAGCAAACAUUAGGGGAUAUUUUUCUGCUGUGUUCUGAAUACUUAUUGUAGACUUACUGGAAAACAGUGGAGCGUACUUUGUUCUCAUUUCUAGCGCAUCAGAAUUUGUUCAUCAGUUGUGUUCUUGAGUCAAGAAUUUACAAGUGUUCAACUUGGUAUAUAUAUCUUGAUUUAAGAUUUUGUAGAAUAUACAGUCACACUGACUAUUAAUUCCUUGAAAAUACUUUGCUAUUUGCAUGUGCUAAAUUGUACUAAAUUGUUUACCUGGAAUGAUUAUUUUCAGUGUACACUGUCAGAAAGCAUUUAAAUGCCAGUAAUUUUAAUGAGAAAUAAGCAUUCUGGCAUGUGAAUAAAUGAACCAACAGCUAUGUGCCUGCACUAGCUUACUGAUUUUCAGUGUGACAAUAUAGUUUAAAUCCUUACUAUUUUCAGCAUGGAAAUCAGAAUCUAUUCUGCUAACCUUCUGAGCUUCUAAAUUUGGUGUCAUGCAUAGGCGUGUUUAAAAAUUAGCAUUUAAAAAGAAACCUACUUGCUUUAAGUUUAAGCUGACACUGUUCCUUUCCUCUGUGGAAAUGAAAUUUAUUAAUCAUAAUAAAACCAUCAUAUUCUGAAGGUAGAGGUCACCCUGAGGAGAAAAAAGUCUAUUCAUCACAGAGGAAUUUCAAUGCAUUUUUCCCAGAUAAUAUCUGAGCGUGGAUUCUCUCCCCUUUGGAAAUAUAUUCUUCCAGGGUUGUGCUUACAUGCAUCAAGUGUAUGGAGGAGUUUGCAGGAAUGAGAAUUUUUCAAUUUAGUUUUGUAUACUUCAUUUUCUUUCAGAGACAAUUUGGAAUGGCACUUCUUUACAUUUUGUUUAAUGUUUACAUUGCAAACAUCUAUUCAGGUAGAAUUCCAAUAUACUGUUUGGAAAAAAAAAAAGAAAAAAGAAAAAGAAAAGGAAGCAUUAGAAGUGUUCUUAUUUUAACAAGAUUACAAGCAUUGCUGGUUCUGAAAUACCAUUUUUAUUUUAAUACAACAGCACAAACCUACAGCAUUCUCUUAAUGUAAAUGUAAAACAUUACUUUUAAGGAACACGGUUUAAGAUAGGUUACCAUUUUUACAUUAGGAUUAUUUCACCUCUUUUGUUUAAAGGAAAAAACAUUGUUUACACAAUAGGACAAAAUAUACAGAGUUGAAACUGUUAUCUGUCUUUGGAAAUAGCCUAAAAUAUUUAUUUAUCCAUAUGUUCUUCUUAGUUGUCCACAUUUCUGUAGAAGAUCAUUGUAAUACUGAUAGCAGCAUGUUUCAUUCCACCAUUGUUAAACACUUGUUCAUCAUUUCAGUGAUGAGUUAGGUUAAAAAUACACCUAAUUUAAUAAAACUUCAGCACUCUUUGGACUUGUUCCUUCCUACUUACAAGAGAGCCUUGAGUUUCAGCCACUUAAUUCCUUGCCAUGGGUGACUCAAUGUGCUCUUGGUUUUGUAAGGCACUAUUAUAUAUUCUGCAGCAAGAAUGGGAUGUAGUAUGGAGUCAAAUGCAGCCCUGCAGCACCGCAUGGAUCAGAGCAGUGAAAAAAAGCUCACAGUAAAUCCUAGUGUAGUUAACGGCUUCCACUAUAACGUGCUUCUUACAGAUCUAAAUUUACAGUUCUUGCUCAGUGUUGUGACAAUAGCAGUUAAUAAGAAAAAAAAAAAGUACUUAUGAAAAUAUACCAAUUCCCAUUGUUCUAAAAGUAAUAGCCAUGAUUUUAAAGCAUGUGUAAUAAUAGUACUUGCAAUUCAUCCUCCAUGUUACUAGGGAUAUUAAGGAAAUCUGUAGAUCUGGAAACAAGUCUAGCUUUAAAUUAAUUAUUUUCCCUUUCUAGAUGUUUUCCUAUUGUUCAAAUGAGAUUUGGCUUGAGAAAAUUAAAAAUAUAAUGAUUUUUAAAUGGAUUCUCAGAUUAUAGUGUUUAUGUUCCAAUUUGGAGGGAAACAUUGCAAAGCUGCUAGUUCUUCCAUCUGAGAAGGCUGCAGAGUUUGUGACCAGUCCCAAACCUUCUCUAAGAACUCUUUCCAACUCAAAGGAUUACUAAGUGAUGCUUACCCAGCAGGCUGAUCAGAACUAUUCUUCCUCUCCUUUCUUUCUCUCCCCCUUUCUUUCUUUCAUUAGCAACUGCCUGGUUAUUUUGGUGUUAAUUGCCUCAGGUAAUUUUCAAAUAUAGGUAUUCAUGGAUACCAACUGUUUAAAUGGAAUUGGCAUAUAAAGUUAAUCUUUCACUCAUCAAUAUAUUGGAUGUAAAAGAGGAAAUAGUGUAUUUUAUACAAGUCUUUAACGCGUAUUUCCCUGAGGUUAAGACCCUAAGAUAGAAGAUGACUGCACAACAUUCUGCUUCCCCUGGAUAUUUGUGUAUAUUUACGUACAGAUAAAAUCUAUAGUAAACAUAACGUUGGUGAGAGUUAGAGCCCCCAUUCAUGAACUUUUAGUAAUUUCAAAACUUUGAUAGAUUAAUUCCUUUUUUAUGUAUUACCCCUUAAUAGAAAGUUGAAUUCACUGAGUAAACACAAUAGCACAACUGGAGACAUUCAGCCACUGUGGUUUUCCUUUGCAAUGAAACAUCCAAAUUUUGCCACAGAAUGCCAUAGAACUCUUUAUUGGGAUAAAUAAACUACACUUAGCCUUUGCUCAAAAUUUCCAUUAAAAUUAAUAGGUAAUUUGUCCUAGAAAUUUAACACAGUAUGUGGAUUUAAACUUACAAAGAAACAAAAUACUUUUACAUUUUUUUAUUAAUGUAAAAUGCCACAGAAACAUUUCACUUCACACCUCUAAGUUUGGGAUAAAGGGAAGGAGAGGAACUGCUCAUUUUGUGAUUUGGCAACUAGAGCCUGAUUGCCAAGUAGGUCGAUGCAUACCUGUUUUUCAGUAUGGCCUAGUCUGGAGAACUGGGGCUGCAGGUGUUUGGGAUCUCUAAGAAGUAAGCCCAAACACAUUAACGUGAAAAUGUGACACUCAAAAUUAGUCAGCAUUUUGAAAAAAGGAGUCAAACAUCAAUUUGGAAAAGUGCUGAUCCUUCUUAACGAGCAGUGUAAAAUGCAAGAGUAAUAGAGCUCAACUCCAUACAAUACUCAUAGAUUUUAAAGGACUGCAGUGGCAGCUUUGUGUUGCUGGAAAAAGUGGCCUACUCAGAACUGAUCACCUGCCAACCACUGUACAUAGACUUCGAAGAUUGUAUUUACUGAACUUUAUUCUACUUUUGUUUGUUCUUUCAUCCAGAUGUGUGGUUAUAUAGCCUUGGAAAGGAAAAAGAUAUCACCUGCAAAUCUGUGACUCUGGUGUUGGUCAGGUAGUAAGAGGCAUUUAUGUGAAAUAUCUGCCUUUUCAGAGUUGACCCUCUUUAAUACAGCCUAGUUUUCUCAAUAAGUGGUUUACUUAGGAUUUCCUUACACAAUUAAUCCCUCAUACUCUUGUAAAUGUUGGCUCAGUGAAAGGAGAAUAAAGACAAGUUUGUCUGCAGAAGUUUCUGCUCUUGCACUGAGGAUGUCACCAGGUAGGUAGGAAUGCUUAGUUCUGUUUGUUUGGACUUUAUUCUCUACCUGAUGUCCAAGACUCGCAGAAGUGGGUGGAGUAAGAUUGCAUGCAUUUGCCAUGCAAACAUUCCUUUCUCAGUUUUCCCUCAGCUGAUUAUAUAGGAACUUAGUCAGAUUCCACUUGUGACGUAUCAACUCCAUGAUAUAAAAUAGGGCAACUGUCCUCUUUUCCAAAAAACAAACAAGCAAAAAUAAAUAAAUAAAAAUAAAAACCUAAGUUUGCAUUUGUAUCUGAAAAAUAGGAUGACUAUACAGAAUGAGACAGAAUGGGAUUACUGUUCACAUAAGGUUGAAAGCAACAUCUGUCAGGGAGAGAUCAAUAAUAUUAUUAAAACUUCAUUUGCUUACUAUAUUACGCCUUCUGUAAAAGACACAACUGUAAUUUCAAGUUUGUUUUUGUUUUUUAUGUGAAGCCUGAGAUCAAAUGGAAGUUAUUUGAUAACAGGAAAAUAAUAAGCAUUCAGGGAAACUUGUGUGUAGUUUCUAACGGUAACUAUGUUCAGACUUGGACUGUGAAACGAAGCCGUAUAUCUCAAGGUGAAGAGGAGGGCUGGGCCAGCAAGUCGCUCAGGUGUACAUGUAAAGGAGCUUUGAAGUAGUUCCUGCAGUAUGGAUUUUGUACAAGGAAAAAAUGACAGAAAAUUUAUGUGACAUAAUCUUAGCUUGGUUUUAGAAGAAAUUUGGCUGAAAAUUCAGGCUUCAGUUGUGCAAGUAUCAUGGCUUAGGAUGACACUGUCUCUUCUCUAGAAGGAA
Molecule: long non-coding RNA, 18474 nt
Filed under: Gallus gallus (chicken)
Lineage: Eukaryota; Metazoa; Chordata; Aves; Galliformes; Phasianidae
Source: RNAcentral